Myotis myotis is the source of this 941-nucleotide long non-coding RNA. RefSeq lists it as uncharacterized. The transcript is spliced from 2 exons. Lineage: Eukaryota; Metazoa; Chordata; Mammalia; Chiroptera; Vespertilionidae. The record is from RefSeq and is a predicted model, not a curated record.
GCGCCGCCACGGCGGGGAGGGCGGGGCUCGCGGUGGGCGCGCCGGGGGCCCAGUGGGGGAGGAGACACGGGAAACUUCAGACCGUGAACAAGCCGACGCUCUCUCCACUGAGCCACACCAGCCAGGAGUAAAAGCAGCCGAGAAUCAACAGCGGGAGUGAGAGGGAAUGCCUGUACGUCAGAGAGAGAGACGGCCGGUAAACCAGCGGGCAGGAGGGAAGAGGGCGAACGGAAGGGAACCCCAACCUGAGAAGCAAAUAGAUGCUUGAACGGAUCAGCCACCUGAGCAUCAAAAUCACCUGGUUCCCCGUACACCCAUCAGACGGCAAUACGAGAAAGUCAACGUUUCUGGCUUUAAAUAUGGAUAGCUCAUGCCCCAGCACCAUUUUUUGAAAUGAAUUGCCUUCGAACCUUUGUUAAAAAUCUCGUCUGGCCCUAGCUGGUUGGGCUCAGUGGAUAGAGCAUCGGCCUGAGGACUGAAGGGUCCCGGGUUCAAUCCCGGUCAGGACACAAGCCUGGGUUGCGGGCUCGAUCCCCAGUAGGGGGCGUGCAGGAGGCAGCCGAUCAAUGGUUCUCUCAUCACUGAAGUGUCUCUCUCUCCCUCUCCCUCUCUGAAAUCAAUAAAAAAUGAAAAACCAAAAAGCACCUCCUGUGCGGCAGUGGAGCAGGAGGGCCCAGGAGGGGGCCUGGGAUGCCACGGGGUGAGGGGAGGACAGGGCUGCGCACGGGGGCAUGGGGAGCGGGGGGCAGAGUGGCCUCGGUUCCUGCCCCGGCUGGGCCCGUGUCCCUGUACCAGACAGUCUCCCCCAAGCCCUCCACCUGUGGGGCCCCGUUUUCCAUCUGCUCUGCGCACACACACACACCUGGCCCCAGGAGGCAGUGCUUAGGGUAGACAAAGACCUAGCGCUGGGCCAGAAACCCUCUCCAGGCCGGCCAGGACCA